Molecule: long non-coding RNA, 628 nt
Organism: Melitaea cinxia (Glanville fritillary)
Lineage: Eukaryota; Metazoa; Arthropoda; Insecta; Lepidoptera; Nymphalidae
Exons: 3
Source: RefSeq, a predicted model, not a curated record
AUAUGUACUCUAUGGUAUUGUGACUCUUUAAUCUGUGACUAGUUGACUACAGCCAAAAAGCUUAAAGCUUCUUUACUUGUUAGUUGUUCUUGACUAAAGUGAAAGUGUGUCGUAGAGAAAAGUAAAUGUGUAGUAUCUACAACAAAAUUUAUUCGGAAACCAACACCAGAAAGAAAAAAAAAGAGAAUAAAAAUAGUGAAUAGUAAUCGUAGUCGACUGUACAACAAUUACGGUACCCAGUAUUGUUCAAAAAUAAUAGCAUGUUAUUUAGAAAAAGAUUGAGAAAGUAGUUCUGAAGAUGCAUGGAAACAUCUAUAUCUCUCAAAGUUAGAAAUCAUCGGAAGAUCAGAAUAUUAGAUGAAGAUGGAGAAUAAAUUUUAUUCUAUAACAAUACUUGAGGAAAUGUAAGUGAAUUGUAAACAGCGAGUUAUAAUAUAAAGCAGUGUGAUCACGUGGACUUGAUAAAUAUGGUGUUACAAUUCCAUUUAAAGGAGCCAUCGGAUAUAAAACAGUUUUAGUAUUGUUCAAAUCACAAUGUAAGUAUCAAAACGAACUUCUUGGUUACCAACUAAAUUGGUAACAAUGUCUAUGAUUUGUAAAAGUUUUACAAUAAAUAAUUUGCCCAUUG